This 4703-nucleotide long non-coding RNA is filed under the name Homo sapiens (human). RNAcentral's name for it is "HSALNT0314789". Lineage: Eukaryota; Metazoa; Chordata; Mammalia; Primates; Hominidae. The record is from RNAcentral.
GGCCACGCGCUCGGGUCCCCUUCCACACUGUGGGAGUUUUGUUCUUUUGCUCUUUGCAAUAAAUCUUGCUACUGCUCACUCUUUGGGUCCACGCUGCUUUUAUGAGCUGUAACACUCACCGGGAAGAUCUGCAGCUUCACUCUUGAGCCCAGCGAGACCACGAGCCCACCGGGAGGAAUGAACAACUCCAGACGCGCUACCUUAAGAGCUGUAACACUCACCGCGAAGGUCUGCAGCUUCACUCCUGAGCCAGCGAGACUACGAAGGAACCCACCAGAAGGAAGAAACUCCGAACACAUCUGAACAUCAGAAGGGACAGACUCCAGACGCGCCACCUUAAGUGCUGUAACACUCACUGCGAGGGUCCGCGGCUUCAUUCUUGAAGUCAGUGAGACCAAGAACCCACCAAUUCCGGACAGAAGGGCCCAGGGAGCAUGGAGUGCAGGGACACUGCCGGCUGCCUUUCACCUUUCUCUCCUUCCCUUCCCCACACAGUCAGUCUGGGGAAUCCCAUUCUUUUCUUUUCUUUUCUUUUCUUUUUUUUUUAAUUUGGAGAUGGAGUCUCAUUGUGUUGCCGAGGCUGGAGUGCAAUGGCCCAAUCUCGGCUCUCACUGCAACCUCUGCCUCUAGGGUUCAAGCGAUUCUCCUGCCUCAGUCCCCCAAGUAGCUGGGAUUACAGGCGCGUGCCACCACGCCCAGCUAAUUUUGUGUUUUUAGUAGAGACGGGGUUUCACCAUGUUAGCCAGGCUGGUCUCGAACUCCUGAUUUCAGGUGAUCCACCCGCCUCGGCCUCCCAAAGUGCUGGGAUUACAGGUGUGAGCCACUGCGCCCGGCCUGGGGAAUCCCAUUCUUAUGAUGUGAUCACCCAGUGUCCCUGUGUCAGACCUCUGGUGCCAAGAGAGACCUUAGAGAUCACCUGAUCCCACGCCUUCAUUUUACAGAUGGAGGAACUGAGGCUCAGGGAGGUGAUUUUUUCCAAGGUCACCUGCCUAGGCUUCCUGGAGCCAGCUCUGUGCUCUUCUAAAACCACCACUUACUUUCCAAUGGAGGGAGGUGACGUGUCGAGCACCUCUCACCUCUAUUAGCCAGCCUGGUGUCUCCUGAAAAGCAGCGAGCAUGUGCAUGUGUGCACUGAUAAUAUGUACCCCUGCAAGUCAGAGAGGGCACGUGCACACCUACGCGUCUUUGCAAACUGCUGGACAUCAUCUGCUGCAGAUGCAGAGGUCCUGCUCUGUGACCCACACUCUGAGCUCUAAGGAGAAGGAAACACACCCACACCCACACCCUUGAGAACUCACCACAGGGAAGAGUCCACGGAGGCAGACCCAGAACGGAGUGCAGAGAGCAAUGGGAACCGCCUGGGAAUUGUUCUCAAUUGUGUCCUCACGCCCACACACUGACCUCCCGGGGCUCUGCAGCCAGGCUCCCUGUGCCUUCCUCGCCCCGGGGAGAGUCUGAACUCCCAGAAUGCGUGUGUGUGCAUCCCCUGCCCCUGCAGAAGACUCUCAACGGAUCCAGCUAAGUCACCAGCCCAAACGCAAGCCCAAGUCUUGGCGUGACAGGGGCAUUCAGCACUCACAGUUUAUCUGUGGAGAAGAAUCCCAGGCACUGGGUUUCAGAAUCAAGGGCACUAGUGCGGAGGAAGUCUCCAUCAGCCCUCACCUGACUCCUGGCGCUGUGGGUCCCUGAGGGCCCCAGGCAGCUCACCAAUUCUCUGCUUCCCAUGGAUGCUUGUGGUUACUGGCUGACCUCAGUGUCUCUCCCCAGGAUAACAGGACUAGGGGAGUCUCCCUUCACAGUUUGAAAGCACCUUAGUUCCUCCUACUGUCUCAAACCUCUCCAUGGGCGCUGGCAGACCUGCUAUGAUUUUCAUCCUACAGAUGAGGCCCCAGAGGCUUGAGGGUGAAUGGUGCUCAAGGGUGAGGUCUCUCUGAGGCUGGUGCCCUCCCCACACCCGGGGCACUGCCUGACAGCUAUCCCCCAAGACCCCACUCCCUUCAGCCACUGGGACUUCCCUCCCAAUGCAGGCCGUGUGUGCCCUGCUCCUGUGCAGCGGCAGGACAGGUUUCCAAAAACCAACGGCAAAGUUUCCUGAAAGGCUCUGGCUUCCAGGACUCUUGGCAGGGCUCUGCCCAGGAAGCAAUGAGCUGGCACUUUCCUGGCUGUGUGCUUAUAGCUGACCCUGGCCUCAGAGGCCUUCCUCUCCUUAUCAGGAAAGGAUGCCAAGGAGGAGGGAGGAGGCUCUGGGGAGAGUCCAGGCCUUUGUGUGAACCAUCCUAAGGGAAGUGGAUGCUUCUGAGCAGCCCUGCCCGGCUCUGGGCCUUGCCCGCCCUCAUCUUCAGCAGGGCUUUGGCACUGGAAAGAAUGAGCUUCAGCUCCUGAGCCUUGCAGGAGUCAGAGGUCAGCAGAUUCCAGGGCUCAGCCUUUCCGCCUCAGUCAGAAACUCUCAGCAGACCAAAGGCCUGGGCUACAGUCCACUGAGAGUUUUUGACCAAGGCAGAAAUUCUUCUCCACAGAUAAACUGUGAGAUAAACUGGGUGGGGACAUCAGCAGCCUCCUCUCUGACGGGCAAAGUUCUUGGGGCCUGCCAUGUGACCACCCAGCCUGGACUCCCUGCCAACACACACACAAAACAAGGCCCCUGCUAGACCCCAGUGCCUGGGCCCAGCUACUGGGCUGGCUUCUCUGCUGGUGUCCAAGGCUCACAGAUUCCUGUUCUGCUUUCCCUCCAGACAUCCUCUCUGGUCUUCCUGGUCUACCCUCAGGCACACAGGCCUCUCCUCCCCUUAUGCCUCUGUCAGCUCUCUCCUCUGCCUGGACCGCUCUCCCCUCAUCCCUCAGCCCCAGCUCUCCCCUCAAUCCCUGGGAUGCCUGUAUGGACCUCCCGGAGGGCUGGUCCCUCUGUCCCACGCCCUGGACUUCUCUGCAGCACUCCUCAUGGCCACCGUGACUCUCUUGGGGGUGAUCCGUUGACUCACUCCGGCUGCAGGAGGGCUGGGACAGUGCCUGCUGCCUGUGUGCUGGCCAGACACAGUGGGAGUGCCCGCCCAUGCUUACUGGGGAAGCAGAGACAAUGGAAUGUUUUAGCAGGAUUGGGGUCUUCAGAAGGUACUUCCAUGAGGUCCUGCAUACAGCUGGGGUAGGAGGAGGCAGUUUAGGGCCUGGACGAUGUGGGGCUGACAUGAGAGAACAGGCCAGGGUAGGGUGCUGGGCAGGUGGGUCAGAGGGGCAGUCGUCCGCCUGGUACACAAUGUCUUAUAUAUGUUUGCAGGGGUGAAAAGAGACCUGUUCAGGGGCAGUGCCCAGUGAGGAGACCCUCAAACGAGAGGCAGAGUCCCUCAAGCCUUUGUACAAUGCCACCAAGGGUGCUGCCCCUUCUUCAACAGAACGUCCUCCUUGCAGGGAGGCUGCAGUGAUGUCAGAGAUGAAUCACAGGCCAGAGGUGAGAGCUGGAGAAAGGGAAACUCUCCCAGUCCCUGGGAGUGGUCAUUACAGACUGGGAAAUCGCUCUCCAGCUGAUGGUAAAGGACUGCAAAUCCUAUUCAUGUGACUCAGGGCCUGGUGUGCCUUCUGGGAAGAAAGCAGAAGAGGGUUCCUAACUGUAGAAGGGAAAAGUUUCCCUUUAUUCUUCCAGCCACGUGGUUCAAUAAGCAUGUACAAGCUCUUACCAGGGCCAGGCACUGUGCGGGCACCAGAAACAUUAAGAUGGAAUGACACAGGUCUGCCCUGGAAGAAACAUUAAGAUGGAAUGACACAGGUCUGCCCUGGAAGGGCUCCUUUCCAGGGCUCAGGGACUCUGUGACUCCUUUUGGGGAGCAGAGUUGUGGACAAGAGUGCAUUUUUCUAGAGAGAUGGUCCACAAGCCAUCCAGAGCCAGGCUCUGUCUCCAGGUACCCUUGAUCCUUGGAGACCUCCCUCAGGUCCUGGCUUUCUUUUUGGAUUCAGGAUUUCCCUGUGUUCCCCAGGCUGGAGGGCAGUGGCUUACUGCCGCCUCCACCUCCUGGGCUCAAGCAUUCCACCUGCCUCAGCCUCUCAAGUAGCUGAGACCACAGGCACACACCACCAGACCCAUAGAACUUUUUUAUUUUUUGUAAAGACAGGGUCUCACUAUGUCUUUACAUAGUGAGGUCUCGAACUCCUGGGCUUAAGUGAUCCACCCACCUCGGCCUCCCAAAGUGCUGGGAUUACAGGCAUGAGCUACCACGCCUGGCUUAGUUAGCCCUGGCUUUCAAUUCCAUCUCUGUUCUCCAGGACAAGCUGUCUCUGCAACUCCAGGCUCUUCUGGAAGCUGCCACCAAUGCCUUUUCCACGUGGGGAGCUGCUUGAGGUUCCUUCCUCCCUUAACUCAAAUGAUGACAACUCCAGCUUUUGGUUACUCAGGCCAAACUCUCAGAGUCAUUCUAGACCCUUCUCUUUCAAAAUGUACACCCAAUCUAUCAGCCAGUCCUGUCAGCUCUAUUUUAAAAUAUAUGCAGAAACUAAACGAUAGUGGUAGAAAAUAGAUCCGAGGGGCUUGGAGUGUGGAAUAAGGGGGAUACAAAAGAACAGGAGAAAAUUUGGAAGCUGAUGGGAAUGUGAAGUAUCUUGACUGUGGAGAUGGUUGAGUGGGUGUAUAUGUGUGUCAAAAUACAAUAAAUUGUACACUAUAUGUGUGGUUUAAUAUGUGCUAGUUAUGCCUCAAUAAAACUGUUUUUUUUUUUAAG